This 253-nucleotide ribosomal RNA is filed under the name uncultured bacterium. RNAcentral describes it as "partial 16S ribosomal RNA". It matches the Rfam family "Bacterial small subunit ribosomal RNA", at positions 524 to 776 of the family's 1533-position model. The record is from RNAcentral.
UACGAAGGGUGCAAGCGUUACUCGGAAUUACUGGGCGUAAAGCGUGCGUAGGUGGUUCGCUAAGUCUGAUGUGAAAGCCCUGGGCUCAACCUGGGAACUGCAUUCGAAACUGGGCCGCUAGAGGGCAGUAGAGGGGCGUGGAAUUCCGGGAGGAGUGGUGAAAUGCGUAGAGAUCCGGAGGAACACCAGAGGCGAAGGCGGCGCCCUGGGCUGCACCUGACGCUGAGGUGCGAAAGCGUGGGGAGCAAACAGG